CUUUAUAGAAGUUGUACAUUUUUUUUAUUUUCGACAUGUAACGGUUUGAUCUAAUUUAUGAUUUUUGCCUAUUUUUAAAUUGUUGGGAAAACUUGUGACCUGACAUUCCAUUUGCUUAUUACUAUACUGAAAAAGUCAUUCGCGAAUUUUUUUAUCCAUAGACAUCAAUGAAUGUUCCCUAUCGAUUGACAACUGCCAUUCUAACGCUUCUUGCACCAACAUUGGUGGAUCAUUUUUCUGCACGUGUGAGAGUGGAUAUACUGGUAAUGGAACUUUUUGCCAAGGUAAAUAGACAAUGGCCAUAUUUAACGUCAAUUCGACUAAAAUCAUAGAGUAGAAAAGAAACGUCGACUAAAUUCCAAAAUAGCAAUGAACGUUAACUAUUUUUUUUUUUAUAAAUUUAAUGGCAUAUAUUUGUUAUGCAUCUCUAGAAAUAGAUGAAUGUUCGCUAUCUCUUGACGAUUGCCAUCCAAAUUCAAACUGCACCAAUAUUGAUGGAUCUUUCCUGUGUAUUUGUGAUAGUAUAUUUGGAGGGAACGAAACUCUUUGCCAAGGUAAGCACAAAAGGCCAUCAUGGCACCUACCUGUAA
Non-coding RNA from Paramuricea clavata, 590 nucleotides. Lineage: Eukaryota; Metazoa; Cnidaria; Anthozoa; Malacalcyonacea; Plexauridae. The record is from the annotation of a GenBank genome assembly.